AAAAAAAGUGACUUGUGACUAUCUACCUUGAUGCAGUAAAUCUCAAGGUACAGGAAACUUGAUUAUUAAAUGUUAAAUUAAUUGCAAUCGUACAACUUCCAAGCUAAUAUAUGGCUUUGCAUUUACAUUUUACAAAGGUAAGAAAUCAUUCUAAAGUUGUUGAUAUAUACUACAAAAGAGAAAAAAGAAAAGGCCUUAAAUGCAAAAGGUUCACUCACACCUAGGCGACGAAACAUACAUAGUUACACCAAUUGCAUAGAGAAACUUGUCUUAAUUUCAUUUGUUAACCAAUGUAUCAUACGUUUCACAGUCUGAUUCGCACACUGUAUCUCACUGACGCUACACUAACAAUGGCACUCGUCUCCAAAUAA
Molecule: long non-coding RNA, 371 nt
Organism: Hylaeus anthracinus
Lineage: Eukaryota; Metazoa; Arthropoda; Insecta; Hymenoptera; Colletidae
Exons: 2
Source: RefSeq, a predicted model, not a curated record